This 616-nucleotide long non-coding RNA is filed under the name Rattus norvegicus (Norway rat). RNAcentral describes it as "long non-coding RNA NONRATT007115". Lineage: Eukaryota; Metazoa; Chordata; Mammalia; Rodentia; Muridae. The record is from RNAcentral.
UUUUCUUUCACAGUUUAGCAGUCUUUUUUGGAUUUCAGCACAGUGAACUAACACUUUCCUGGAUUCCAAGACCUCCAGAGAACCAGAUGGAUGAGAGGAACUGGGAAAAAGAACCCACACUGUUUGAAAAAGGGGUGCCACACGCCAGGUCUCCUAGGGAGAAGCAGCUUGGUACUGCUGGACACCUACCCACUCUCUCAUGUUCAACUGGACAGUCUGCUCCCUAAUGCAACCAAGGACUCCUUGGAGCAAGACUUAUACGUCGGCUUGUCACCUGCUCUUAUGUUCUUCUCACUGACAUCAGACCAGACAUUUCCAUACUUUGAGUCAAAGUGUCCUCUCCUCUGGAGAAUUUCUGGAACAAGUCCCUCUCUAACAGAAUGCAUUUCUCCUCUGCCAUUAAGAAUGCCUCACUGUCAGCCUGUUUCUCUCUGUGUUCUUGGUUUUGUUUUUGUCUUCAGUGUAUUUUGAACUUUGGGGGAUGGGGUCCAUGCCUUCAAUUAUCAUUUCCAUUCCAUAGCUAACAAAGUGUCUGUUAUGGGCAUUAGGUAUGUAGUAAGUGUUCUUUGACUCAUGAGUGAGGAAAUAAAUCGAAGAGGUGAUUUUCUUGAGAUAA